UAAAAUCCUAGGAACAAUUAAAUCCUAGAAACCAUGGGAUCCUAGGAACCAUGGAAAAUGCCUAAGGAGUGUGCUGGAUAUUGAUUAUCCUUGGGUACUAUCAGAUGGGAGCAAGCCAGGGUGGCACCAUGGUGACACUGCAGCCGGGCAUGGCCCUGUGACACUCCUGGCUGCUGGCAUUUCAGCCAUGGCAGAUGUCCAGCAAAUUUUCCAUCUCAAACACUCUCCAGGACUCCUCAAGGAGCAGAACCUCACUGCCUUUGGCCAUGGAAAAGGGAAGGGCUGGGAAUGAUUCCUGGCUGGUGACAGAAGCAAAAACAGGUUAUUGGCAAGGAAGGCAAUUAAACAGCCUGAUGUAAUAGCACCUAAUUAACUUGCAAGCCUGAAUAUUCCUCGUUGUAAUGACAUCCCAAUACUCGGGUUUCUGAUUGCCCAGCACAUAUUAAAGUAUGGAUAUCACA
Molecule: non-coding RNA, 461 nt
Organism: Taeniopygia guttata (zebra finch)
Lineage: Eukaryota; Metazoa; Chordata; Aves; Passeriformes; Estrildidae
Source: RefSeq, a predicted model, not a curated record